RNAcentral lists this ribosomal RNA (660 nucleotides) under uncultured bacterium. Its description in RNAcentral is "bacterial SSU rRNA". It matches the Rfam family "Bacterial small subunit ribosomal RNA", at positions 94 to 788 of the family's 1533-position model. The record is from RNAcentral.
AGUGGCGGACGGGUGAUUAACGCGUGAGAAUCUGCCUUGGGGUCGGGGACAACCACUGGAAACGGUGGCUAAUACCGGAUAAGCCGAUUGGUGAAAGAUUUAUUGCCCGAAGAGGAGCUCGCGUCUGAUUAGCUAGUUGGUGAGGUAAGAGCUCACCAAGGCAGCGAUCAGUAGCUGGUCUGAGAGGACGAUCAGCCACACUGGGACUGAGACACGGCCCAGACUCCUACGGGAGGCAGCAGUGGGGAAUUUUCCGCAAUGGGCGAAAGCCUGACGGAGCAAGACCGCGUGAGGGAGGAAGGCUCUUGGGUUGUAAACCUCUUUUCUCAGGGAAGAAGCUCUGACGGUACCUGAGGAAUCAGCCUCGGCUAACUCCGUGCCAGCAGCCGCGGUAAUACGGAGGAGGCAAGCGUUAUCCGGAAUUAUUGGGCGUAAAGCGUCCGCAGGUGGCGAUUCAAGUCUGCUGUCAAAGCACGGGGCUUAACUCCGUAAAGGCAGUGGAAACUGAAUAGCUAGAGUGCCGUAGGGGUAGAGGGAAUUCCCGGUGUAGCGGUGAAAUGCGUAGAGAUCGGGAAGAACAUCGGUGGCGAAAGCGCUCUACUGGACGGCAACUGACACUCAGGGACGAAAGCUAGGGGAGCGAAUGGGAUUAGAUACCCC